Molecule: small nuclear RNA, 183 nt
Organism: Myotis daubentonii (Daubenton's bat)
Lineage: Eukaryota; Metazoa; Chordata; Mammalia; Chiroptera; Vespertilionidae
Product: U2 spliceosomal RNA
Source: RefSeq, a predicted model, not a curated record
AUCGCUUCUCGGCCUUUUGGCCUAGAUCAAGUGUAGGAUUCAAAACAAUGCAAAUUGUCUAUUUUUAAACUAUAGGGUGCUGGACCCAAGUCAGUUCUCAGCCUUUAAUCGUCCAGCAUUAUCAAUUCACUUGGAUUCACUUUUUUAUUUGGCCUACAGGACACUACAUUAAAAAAUCCAACA